RNAcentral lists this long non-coding RNA (9044 nucleotides) under Marmota monax (woodchuck). Lineage: Eukaryota; Metazoa; Chordata; Mammalia; Rodentia; Sciuridae. The record is from RNAcentral.
ACAAGUUCCAAAGUUGAACUGCUUUAAACUUUACAGUCUUUGAAGCUGCAACAUCGCCAGUACAACGCACUUGUCACUUCAGGACUUUUUGUGCUUGGUUGGUAAUAUAAUGAUUAGCAUAAUAAGGAUAUUUGGGGCAGUUUUCCCUAUACUUCAUAGAAUUAACUUUUCAUUUAGGUUAGAAAAUUAUGUCUGGUUUCCAAAACGAUUACAGAGCAAUUUUCUUUCAAUGAUAACACACAAUGAUUAAGUAUACUUUGUUAAGUCUUUUGUUGUUACAAUAUACGAAAACCAGAUUAGUCUGAUAAAUUAAGUGGCUUUUUUUUUCUUUUCUUUUUCUCCCCUUUCCCUCCCUCCCUCUGUUUCUUUUAUUCUUUCUUGCUGCUGGGAAUUGAACCCUGAGCCACUUGAAUGCAAGGCAACUAAUUAACUAAUUUAUUUUCUUUCUUUCUUUGCUUCCUGCUUUUCUUUCCUUUUUUCUUUUUUCUUUCCUUCUUUUCUCUCAUUCCCUCCCUCUCUUCCUUCCUUCUGCUCUCCUUCCCUCCCUUCUUCUUUUCCUUCUUUUCCCUCCUUCUUUUUAAGAGAUUAAAAAUAUACAAAAGAGCCAAACCAAUAGAUUAGCAGGCUUUUGAUGACGGAAAUAUAGAAUGUCAUCUUAAAAGGACCUUGGAGUACUUUCAGUUCCAGACUUUUAAUUUACAAAUGAAAACCUGAGGUCCAGAAGUGUUCUGUGACUUGAUUAAAUUACUCAAGGCUGCACUGGUGACUCUUUGCUCUAAUCUAUGUGAACUCAGCAAAGCCAACGCAUGCCUUUUAAGUACAAAAACAUAUUUCAUUAAAAUUAGCCAUCCCUCCCAUUUGUUAAUGUCUAGCAGCUUUAAACUAGCCCAAAGGACAGGAUCUCACAACACAGAAGUUAUACUUCUUGGAAGAUUCUAGCCUAGAGGUAGGAAGGUGCUGGUUCAUCAUGACUUCACCAGAGUUUGGCAUAUAGUAGGUCCCCGUUAUAUACUGGCUAUUCAAAAAUUGCUAAUAGAAAAAUGUAUCUGUCUGGAAACAAGGUGACAGCAUUGAGGAAUGAUCCCUGGCUCCUUCUCCAGCCCUCUUUCAAUGGAGCCUGUCACAAAAAGUGGCAAGAAGCCCAAGGUCCUUGUGCCUAGGAAGAUUCCUCAUCCUUCUCAGAGCCACCUGAACCUGCUUGUUGGGAAUUCUCUGGGUUUCCUUCAAGCACACUCUGACAGCAGGCCCUUUGCAGUUCUCUUCUGUCCUCUAGCCUGGAUGGGAUGUGUGGUCAUAUGCUAAUGCCUCCAGUGGGUACACUGAUUGCAUUUGCUUACUCUGUGCUCUUUUUAUACCUUAAGGCAGUUAUCUUUUGUGAGAGUUAAGAUUUACCUUGGGAACUGAAACUCGUGUCUGAGUUUUCCACUGACAAUUUCAAAAGAAGGCUAAAUACAGACAGGGGUGUAAGGAAAAAUUUUAAUGCCCUGCUACUUUAAUCAGUUGCCAUUGGUUUAAAAAUCAAAUUUUAGAUGAUGAUGCUGUUGGCCAUAAAGUAAGUACCUACCUACCAGGUAUUGUGACAGGCACGUUUGAUGCACCGUUCAUCUGAUCUUUAUAACAAUCUUUUAAAGUAGGUGUUGUUGACAUGGAGCCAUUGUCAUCAUCUCUUUUUAACAGAUAAAAUUAAUGAGGUUUCAAAGAUUAUGUUUUGUGUCCAGAAUCUCACAAUUAUUAAAGUUCCAGGAUUAGGAUCCAAACUCUGAGCCUCAAGGCCCCCUCUCAGGUGCUGUGGAAUAAUGCCUCCAUCCUAACAUUGCUCUCAGUUUUCUGCUUCACUUUCUUUUGGACAUCAGGUCUCAAGUCUCAUGAUGCUCUAUUAUUCUCUGACCAUAUAGUCCUACAAUUGGAAACUCUUUAAUAUGAAGAUUGGAUCUUAUAUAAUAAUCAUCAUAUGUCCUAGAAAAAAUGUUUUGUUUUGUUUUGUUUUUGUCUUAGAAUGUUAUCUAAAACAAACAAACAAAAAUCCAAAUCUUUUUCUGGAACACAUUGGUGAAGUGGGAACCCUGGACUUUUGGACCCCAGCAUCCUGCAGGACCAUCCUUCCCCUCUCCAGGUUGCAAGGCUUUUCAGCUUUUUCUCACUGUUUCACACACACGCAGAUGAUCAGAAGUUCACACCUUGGUUUCCUGGAAGAGGAAAUGGCAUUUCCGGGAGGGGAUGAUGCGUGGGUGCUAAAGUUCCACUCCCUGCCUUAAACACACCCCAACUUUCAGUUGCGCACUUCUUUUCCUCCUUAGGUCUUUGCCCUAAAGUUUCCUGGAAUCAUGCUGAGUGCACCUGCUUCAUUAAGUUCUCUUCAGCUGAGAAAGAUGUGAUUCCUGCUUUGGACUCAGUCGCUCAAGAUUCCCAGGCGUCUUGUCCCUGCAGCUGUCACAAACCACUUUCCUCCAACUUGGAAUCUGGAAGAGAGCCUUAGACAUCACUUGGUGUACUUUUGGAUCUAGUGGGUGACUAUGCUGUGAUUUCCAUGGAAACCACCUCUUAUAUCCUUCUGUGGGAUUAACCUUUCAUAAGGGACUUAGGAUAGAAAUUGCAAAGGAGUUGUUCUUGUUUGAGCCUCAAUGUGGAGAAGGAUGGUAUUUGGGGAGAAGUAGGAUAUGACUGACAAUUGGAGGACAGGGCUAUUUAACAAGAACUUCUCUGUCUCUGCACAAGUCACCAUUUGGAGGAAGCCAAUUUGGACUAUUUUAUGAGGAAUUUGAUCACCCAGCUAUCCAUUUCCCCAAAGCCUGCCAGAAAUUGUUUUAAAAAAUGUCACACCCAAGUCCCCUGAAGAAUCCACAUGGAAUUCAAGGAUGGUGAUCUGCUGUAACCAAAGAUUUCAGUAACAUCUGAAGUUUGGCAUACAUUUAUUUGGAAAAUGUAAAAAUUAUUUUAGAAGAUAUUGAUUCAAAUGAGCUACAGAGAUGCAAACAAAAACAGGUAUUUUAAACUCACAGCUUGGACAGGGAAAGGGAGGUUUACUUUUUCCUCUUCAGCUCAACUUAAGAGUUUUAAGUGGGGAAAAAAAAAGAUAAUUGGAAUUUAAAACAUGUUAUUUUCAGAGGAUAGCUCUAAACCCCAAAGCAAAAAUUAGCCCUCCCAUAGGGGAAUAAAUAAACCACAGUUACUGUUGAUAAUAAUGCUAAUAUCAACUCUUGCAAAUCAUGGAAUGAACAGUGAAAGAGAAAUGCAAAACUCACUCACCCCAAGGUACCAAAGUGAAUAUGGUCAUGGUGUACUUCUGAAAAUCUUCCUAAAAGUAUUUAUUAAACAUAGUUAGUAAUGUUAAGAUACUUUACCCCUUUAGACCAUGUAGGGGUGGUAGUUAUUUAUUUCUUCAUUUAACAUAGUGAUUAGGGUGAUGCUAAAAUAUUUAUUAAUGCUUGCUGUGCAUUUACUCUGUGUGUCAGGGCAUGGAGUUGAAUUUAUUUUAAUUAUUUUAUUUGAUUAUUAUGCCAAAUUCUAUGAUAUGGGCAAUAUAACUCUUCAUUUUACAGAUAAGACAGUUGAGUUUGGGAGGCUAAACAAACAACUUCUCAGCUUUAUCUAGUCAAUAAGUGGUAAGCCUGAUUCAACUGAUCCUCAAAUCCAUGAAUUUUAAAUUAUAGACAGAAAAUAAGGCAAGAAUUGAAAUUGUAGCUUGACUCUUAAAAUAGUAAAAGAAUCAUGUAUUAUUUAAUUUCAAUUAAUAAAAUAUUCAGAGGGAAAAAGUUCUCACAUGUAUAGAUGUUCACACAUGUAUAGAUAACCAGUGCAUAAAUUAUAAUGUAUUGCAAUAUUAAUAAUAAAAUCACAGAAAAUGAAGCCAAGUGUAAUUCUUAAUGAUGAAAAAUAGAGCAAAAAAAUUUUUUUACUGAGCAUCAAUUUUAUUAUAUUAUGAGAGGAUGAAAUUAAGAAUGAAAGUUUCCCUUUUUAAAAUGUUUUUAAGGUGGAAUAAUUCUAAAAACCUAAUAUUUGUGCCUUAUUUCAGUCUUUGUUUCACUAUUCUAUGGGCAUUGACUUUGUAGUCACUACUGUAAUAAGGAAACUAAUUGUAGCAAAAGUUCUGAUUCAAACAGUGAAUAUUUUCAAUAUUUUUAGCAUUGAUACAAGUUAACACAAUAAACUCCAGGUGUAUUUCUAAGUUCUAAGGGCAGAAUCAGCAAAUGGCUAGUCCAGUAUUUCUAAGGCCAAACAGAUAUGGUUCUCUUGGUUUCUGGAAGUCUAGGGACACAUACCAGCCAUAGUAAGUAUGGCCCAAAUAGUCAUAAAAUUUUGUCUGAAAUUAAAGAGAUAUGGAUGAGAAGAUUUACAGAGACCACUUUUUAGUGAUUCUCCUCUACCAGGAGAAAAAUGCCUCUGGAAAGACAAUACUCCUGAUGAGAAACCCUCCCCAGGGAGGGUUUAUAUAUCUGAGAAUUAAUGUGUGAAUCUAGGAGGAUGAAAGUCAGGAUGAAAUCUUCUGUCGUGUUUAUAAAUUUGAUUAUUGCAAUUCUACAAUUUGACCUAGUGCGAUUGCUCUAGGAUUUGAAAAGGCUAAUGUGUUACUUUAGAAUAAAUCUUAAUCUUUUUGAAAACAAAAAGGCAAUCCUCUCCUUAGUCCAUUUUAUUCCAUCCAUACUAACACAUUUAGUAGAUGAUUUUAUUCUGCCAUCAAUACCCCCUUUACACACAUGCACGCAUACACAAACACUGUCUGGAAAGAAUUUUUCAUUUUAUGAAAAGUAUAUUGGACUACAUAGGAUAUUCCAUCAGGUUUCUUCCAACUCCCAAAUUCUGAAAAUAAGUGUCAAAUUGAAGAAAGCACUAACUCUCAGCAAGGGGGGUUGUACAGCAAUUUACUUCUAAUGGACUCACUGUUGAUUUAGUCUAAUAUACUCACUGGUAUAAAAAAAUUCCAAAUGCCCUUGAAGAAGUCCUAUAAUUAUGGCAUCAGGAAAGCAAUGAAAAUCAUUAGUCUCUUCUUUGUGUACAGCCUUCUUGGUAAUACCCUACCUUCAACCAUUCACUUCAAAGGAAAAAGUUGUAGAACAAAAAUAUAAAACAUUUUUUUCUCCCCUCAGUGGUUGAGACUAAAUGGACCAUAGUUCAUUUGGGGGCAACUGAGUUAGAUGUGCUCUGAGUAUGGUCAUGGUUUAUUCCUCCAAUGCAAGCAUCUCACCCUGAAAUUGUUUGUUUUGGGGCCUCAAAUGGCAACUCAGAACUGGUUAUUUCUUUCAAUGUGAAUUGGCUGAUGUGUUGUAAAUAGGUCUGUGAUGGUAUUUCUAUUUCUUCUCCUUCUCCUUCUCCUCCUUCUCCUUCUCCUCUCUCUUUCCUUCUCUCUUUCUUUCUCUCUUUCUUUCCUUACCCCUGCCUCUCACUAGACAGGAACAGCCCAGAAAAGUGGAAAAUUUCUGUGUUUUGAGAUUCAGGCUAUAAUUCAGAAAGAACAACAGCUUAUGUUUGUACGUCUGUGCAACAUUAAAAUAAUGGGAAAUGAAUGAGCUAAUCUUUUUGUAUAUCCUACAAGAACUUAAUGGAGAUAUAAUUCUUGAAGAUUAAAGGUAUUUGAAAUCAGAAGAUACGUUUAUUUUUAGAACUAGACUGCAAAUGUCAUGUGUUAUUUUACAAUCUCUUUCUCCCACAUAAUUGUUUUAGAGUUAAUAAAAGGGGGAGGUUCAUAAUACAACCUGCCAAUUUCAUAAGGAAGAUUGAGUAGAUAAAAACCUGUAAAAUGCUUUGACCCACUAUAAGCCUCAAAAAGAAAAUGCAGACUUUGGAAUGAAUAUCUGCUCUUUAUAGGGCAUUUGCAACCUAGUGUUUUACAGAUAUAAGCUUAUUUAACACUCAUAUCAACCCUAUAAUUUGGGUGACAUUUACACUUUAUAGACGAGAACAUUGAGGCUCAGAGAAGCUGAAUAACUGGAUUCAAGAUCACAAAGCAAGGGAUUGGCAGAGCCAAAAUCAGAACCUGGGGUGGCUCUGUUCAGAGCCUAUCCUGAGCAUUCUAGAGAAUUCUGGCCACCAGCUACAAAGGCCACAAAUUGGGGGUGUAUUCCACAUGCUGAUUUUGAAAGACAAUAUUUAUUAUUUUUCCUAUGAUAAAGUAAUGCAUUUGGGCACACACACACACACACACAGAAACACAAAUUAUAAUUAGAAAAAAAGUAAAAGAAGAAAAAAAAAGGUUAACCAUAAUUUCACAACCCAAAGACAGUUAAUCUUCUGGUUUAUUACUUUAUAUUCUUAUAUCCAUGCAUAGUAUUUGGAAUUGUAUUAUUUUAAAAAUAACUCCUAUUGGUUGCCUGAUUAUAAGGUAAUGAAUAUUCACCAUAGAAAUUUUGAAAAAUACAAUAAUGUAUAUAAGAAAAAAUUUAAAUCACUCAUAAUCUCAAAAUGUAAAAAUAACUGUUAAAACUUUGGCCUUUUAUUCUUUUCAUGACUGAAACCAACAGCACAUAACUUGAAACUUUAUUUACUUAUUAGUGAUUUAAAAUGAUCUGCAUCAUACAGUUUAUAGUUUAGUUUACACAUCAUUUUUUUUAGGUUGUUUGGUUUUUACUUGAUUUGUUGUUUUAUUUUUCCUGAAAUUACAAAUUUGAUUUUCAGACAGAUGGUUAGAAUGACGUGGUUGCUCUAAAUAGAACUCUCUACUUUUCACUGAAGGACAAAAAUUACUCCCACAUACAAAAGAAAAAAGAAAAACACCUCAAAGAAGGAAUCAUGAUACUGUUUCAAUCUGCCCUGAUAACACCACAGAAACACUUCGACUUUUUAUGCUUUUUUUCAUCUGCAACUGGUUUUAAGCAACUUUUCAUCAAGACUAAAACAAUUGACACUGAACUGCCAGAUCAAGUAAAUAAAUCUGGGGUUACAUGACUUGGGGAGGGCUGCAGAAAUGUGAAUUAAAUCUUAAUCACACUAAGAAAGUUUUUUACGGCUCCCAAAGCCAGAAUGCUAUUCUUUGAGAAUCUUUGCACCCUGUGAUUUAACCUGCCAAGGACACUUAAAGAACUUAAGAACUCAAAAAGUGUCCAGGGUAAGACUCAGCAAGGUGCACCAAGUCUGGCUGCCACAACUGUGCUAAGAAGAUUUGGCUUUUCCCAGGGAUAUAGUAGGAACCUGAGCAAAGGAAACGAAAUGAUAAAUAAACUGAAAGUUUUUAAACUUACAUUCUCAAGUUUAUGCUCUUUUGUCUACUCAACAGAGUAGCAAAGCACUAAAAGGGUUUUUAGAAAACUCUUGUACAUGAAUAUUUCCCCCAAACUUCUCUGUAUGUUUUUUUUUUCAGAAUCAUACUUUUUCUUUUCCUUGCAAUUGUAUUUUGAUAGAAUGCAGAUCUCUUCCAUGGUUCUCAACUUAAAUUCUUCCUUUUAUUUCCCAGCUAUGAGAGAAAAUUCCAAAAAUUCCAAGCCGUACUUUGUAAUUCCUUGAACAUAGUGGAUCCAUUAUGUACAUUAUAGAGAGGGUGUGGAGAAAGUGGAAUUCUCAUGCAAAUUAGUACAACUUUGGAAAAUUGUCUCACAAUAUCUGCUACAGCUGAACAUAGCACCACCAGUGACCCAGGCAGAUCAUAUGUCCACAAGCUACAGAAAUGUGUCCAGAUGCACUAAAAGACAUGUACAGUUCAUCCAUCCUAGUAUUGUUCAUAAUCACCUCAAACUGGAAGCAACCCAAGUGCAUCGUGAAAUUGUGGUUCUUCAAUCAAUUGAAUCCAUGCACAGAAGAAUUAACACAAGAAUGCCAUAUGCCACUCUCUGAGCACAUCUUGCCAACAUAAUGUUGAGUGAAAGAAGCCAGUUUCCCCCAACGGACUUACUGUAUGUUUUCAUUUACAUAAAGUUAAAAAGUAAGUAGAAUUAAUUGGUGUGAUGUGGAGUUAGGACAGUAGUUAUUCCAGCAGGGAGGUGGGUGGUGGAGUGUCUGACCUCUGGCUGCCUAUGGUGACUUUUAUUACUAGAUACGGAGGAUGGUCACAUAGGUAUGCCCUCCUUGUAAGAGUUCAUCUAGCUGUCCACCACUGGUGAGUUGUUUACUUUUCUGAAUGUGUCAAUUCCAAUAAAAAAAGAUUAUUUGAAAAUGGACUCUAAUAGUAUUGUAUUUAUAAAGCUCUUUCUGUGUAGCCAGAAGCAGGAUUGGUUUCCCAGGUGAUGUGGAGUUCACCAGGGGUUCAGUGAGUAGGGAUUAGGUGGCAAUUGUGCUAAUUCCUCCUUUCUGUUAUUUAGGAGGCCAACAAUCUGAGCUUAAUGACAGUGUGACCUCAAACAAGUCAUUGAUAUUUUCUGGGUCUUUUCCUUCAUUUGAGAAGUGCAGAAGCUAGAUAACGCACGGUCUCCAGUCGUUCUGACCCUCACUGCUUUGGUUCUGUACCCUUCUUCCUCUUCAAGGUUUCCCCCACCUCUUCCUGUCCCCUCUCCCUCCCCUCCUCUCCUCCCAGGUGUGUGCCUGUGUCCUUCUCUUUGUCCUCUCUUUCUGUGGCUCCCCUGGCUUCCCAGUACUGCGCCUUAUACAUACUUAGAAAAUAAUAAUAAUAAUAAUUCAUUUGUUCCAUAGAGGCAAAAGUUCAGUAAAGUUUGAAUUCUGUGAUAUUUAAAUUUCCCCGAAAAUCCCAAAAUUGAAUUUAUCCUAACUUGGGCAAGAGGAAAUUCAUGCCAAUUUUUAAACAGAAUCCAAUAACAAACAUGCCCCCAAACCAAAUGGUAGCAGUGAUGGCUCCCUCAAUAUGGUUAUUUGGAGGUGGCACAUUCAUAUGAGUAAAUAGCAUCAAGUCUAAAUAAAGUUACAAGAAAGCUUAUUCAGAGAAUAUUAAUUUGGGGCAAUUAAAGAUAAGGUUUUAAUGAUUGAGGUCUUGGGGACUGAUAAAAGCUAUUUAAAAAAAUUGGAUGGUAAAGAUUUGCCAGUUUGUCCUCAGAAUUGUUGAAUUGCCCUUAAUCAUACUUCUUUAGUUAAGGAGAUAAAACUGUUGCUAAACUGCAGGAGAGGAAGUCUCUUUAGCUUGAUAUAAAUGUCAUUUGGAUCAUAUGCAAGAUUAUUUGCAAAUGGAC